GACGAACGCUGGCGGCGUGCCUAAUACAUGCAAGUAGAACGCUGAAGAGAGGAGCUUGCUCUUCUUGGAUGAGUUGCGAACGGGUGAGUAACGCGUAGGUAACCUGCCUUGUAGCGGGGGAUAACUAUUGGAAACGAUAGCUAAUACCGCAUAACAAUGGAUGACACAUGUCAUUUAUUUGAAAGGGGCAAUUGCUCCACUACAAGAUGGACCUGCGUUGUAUUAGCUAGUAGGUGAGGUAAUGGCUCACCUAGGCGACGAUACAUAGCCGACCUGAGAGGGUGAUCGGCCACACUGGGACUGAGACACGGCGCAGACUCCUACGGGAGGCAGCAGUAGGGAGUCUUCGGCAAUGGGUGCAACCCUGACCGAGCAACGCCGCGUGAGUGAAGAAGGUUUUCGGAUCGUAAAGCUCUGUUGUAAGUCAAGAACGGGUGUGAGAGUGGAAAGUUCACACUAUGACGGUAGCUUACCAGAAAGGGACGGCUAACUACGUG
Molecule: ribosomal RNA, 497 nt
Filed under: uncultured bacterium
Lineage: Bacteria
Description: partial 16S ribosomal RNA
Rfam family: Bacterial small subunit ribosomal RNA
Source: RNAcentral